RNAcentral lists this long non-coding RNA (8497 nucleotides) under Citrus x clementina. RNAcentral's name for it is "Citrus clementina (C. clementina) long non-coding RNA (CCLE_LNC004797)". The record is from RNAcentral. Lineage: Eukaryota; Viridiplantae; Streptophyta; Magnoliopsida; Sapindales; Rutaceae.
GCGGGUGUGCCCGUGGCCUAUUUUUGGCACACGGAGGCCGCCCGCAAAGUCUGGGGCCAUUCCGAGUCCGGCGGACGAACUUCGCCCACGCCCCGCACCAAGGCUAUAGCCCACCCGUUUUUUGGCCAUUUUUCCGCUGGGGGGUCUUGGCGCCCCGACCUUCGGGGGCUGAAUUUUGGGCGCGGGUGUGCCCGUGGCCUAUUUUUGGCACACGGAGGCCGCCCGCAAAGUCUGGGGCCAUUCCGAGUCCGGCGGACGAACUUCGCCCACGCCCCCCACCAAGGCUAUAGCCCACCCGUUUUUUGGCCAUUUUUCCGCUGGGGGGUCUUGGCGCCCCGACCUUCGGGGGCUGAUUUUUGGGCGCGGCUGUGCCCGUGGCCUAUUUUUGGCACACGGAGGCCGCCCGCAAAGUCUGGGGCCAUUCCGAGUCCGGCGGACGAACUUCGCCCACCACCCCCACCAAGGCUAUAGCCCACCCGUUUUUUGGCCAUUUAUCCGCUGGGGGGUCUUGGCGCCCCGACCUUCGGGGGCUGAAUUUUGGGCGCGGGUGUGCCCGUGGCCUAUUUUUGGCACACGGAGGCCGCCCGCAAAGUCUGGGGCCAUUCCGAGUCCGGCGGACGAACUUCGCCCACGCCCCCCACCAAGGCUAUAGCCCACCCGUUUUUUGGCCAUUUUUCCGCUGGGGGGUCUUGGCGCCCCGACCUUCGGGGGCUGAUUUUUGGGCGCGGGUGUGCCCGUGGCCUAUUUUUGGCACACGGAGGCCGCCCGCAAAGUCUGGGGCCAUUCCGAGUCCGGCGGACGAACUUCGCCCACGCCCCCCACCAAGGCUAUAGCCCACCCGUUUUUUGGCCAUUUUUCCGCUGGGGGGUCUUGGCUCCCCGACCUUCGGGGGCUGAUUUUUGGGCGCGGGUGUGCCCGUGGCCUAUUUUUGGCACACGGAGGCCGCCCGCAAAGUCUGGGGCCAUUCCGAGUCCGGCGGACGAACUUCGCCCACGCCCCCCACCAAGGCUAUAGCCCACCCGUUUUUUGGCCAUUUUUCCGCUGGGGGGUCUUGGCGCCCCGACCUUCGGGGGCUGAAUUUUGGGCGCGGGUGUGCCCGUGGCCUAUUUUUUGCACACGGAGGCCGCCCGCAAAGUCUGGGGCCAUUCCGAGUCCGGCGGACGAACUUCGCCCACGCCCCCCACCAAGGCUAUAGCCCACCCGUUUUUUGGCCAUUUUUCCGCUGGGGGGUCUUGGCGCCCCGACCUUCGGGGGCUGAAUUUUGGGCGCGGGUGUGCCCGUGGCCUAUUUUUGGCACACGGAGGCCGCCCGCAAAGUCUGGGGCCAUUCCGAGUCCGGCGGACGAACUUCGCCCACGCCCCCCACCAAGGCUAUAGCCCACCCGUUUUUUGGCCAUUUUUCCGCUGGGGGGUCUUGGCGCCCCGACCUUCAGGGGCUGAUUUUUGGGCGCGGGUGUGCCCGUGGCCUAUUUUUGGCAAACGGAGGCCGCCCGCAGAGUCUGGGGCCAUUCCGAGUCCGGCGGACGAGCUUCGCCCACGCCCCCCACCAAGGCUAUAGCCCACCCGUUUUUUGGCCAUUUUUCCGCUGGGGGGUCUUGGCGCCCCGACCUUCGGGGGCUGAUUUUUGGGCGCGGGUGUGCCCGUGGCCUAUUUUUGGCACACGGAGGCCGCCCGCAAAGUCUGGGGCCAUUCCGAGUCCGGCGGACGAACUUCGCCCACGCCCCCCACCAAGGCUAUAGCCCACCCGUUUUUUGGCCAUUUUUCCGCUGGGGGGUCUUGGCGCCCCGACCUUCGGGGGCUGAUUUUUGGGCGCGGGUGUGCCCGUGGCCUAUUUUUGGCAUACGGAGGCCGCCCGCAAAGUCUGGGGCCAUUCCGAGUCCGGCGGACGAACUUCGCCCACGCCCCCCACCAAGGCUAUAGCCCACCCGUUUUUUGGCCAUUUUUCCGCUGGGGGGUCUUGGCUCCCCGACCUUCGGGGGCUGAUUUUUGGGCGCGGGUGUGCCCGUGGCCUAUUUUUGGCACACGGAGGCCGCCCGCAAAGUCUGGGGCCAUUCCGAGUCCGGCGGACGAACUUCGCCCACGCCCCCCACCAAGGCUAUAGCCCACCCGUUUUUUGGCCAUUUUUCCGCUGGGGGGUCUUGGCGCCCCGACCUUCGGGGGCUGAAUUUUGGGCGCGGGUGUGCCCGUGGCCUAUUUUUGGCACACGGAGGCCGCCCGCAAAGUCUGGGGCCAUUCCGAGUCCGGCGGACGAACUUCGCCCACGCCCCCCACCAAGGCUAUAGCCCACCCGUUUUUUGGCCAUUUUUCCGCUGGGGGGACUUGGCUCCCCGACCUUCGGGGGCUGAUUUUUGGGCGCGGGUGUGCCCGUGGCCUAUUUUUGGCACACGGAGGCCGCCCGCAAAGUCUGGGGCCAUUCCGAGUCCGGCGGACGAACUUCGCCCACGCCCCCCACCAAGGCUAUAGCCCACCCGUUUUUUGGCCAUUUUUCCGCUGGGGGGUCUUGGCGCCCCGACCUUCGGGGGCUGAAUUUUGGGCGCGGGUGUGCCCGUGGCCUAUUUUUGGCACACGGAGGCCGCCCGCAAAGUCUGGGGCCAUUCCGAGUCCGGCGGACGAACUUCGCCCACGCCCCCCACCAAGGCUAUAGCCCACCCGUUUUUUGGCCAUUUUUCCGCUGGGGGGUCUUGGCGCCCCGACCUUCGGGGGCUGAAUUUUGGGCGCGGGUGUGCCCGUGGCCUAUUUUUGGCACACGGAGGCCGCCCGCAAAGUCUGGGGCCAUUCCGAGUCCGGCGGACGAACUUCGCCCACGCCCCCCACCAAGGCUAUAGCCCACCCGUUUUUUGGCCAUUUUUCCGCUGGGGGGUCUUGGCGCCCCGACCUUCGGGGGCUGAAUUUUGGGCGCGGGUGUGUCCGUGGCCUAUUUUUGGCACACGGAGGCCGCCCGCAAAGUCUGGGGCCAUUCCGAGUCCGGCGGACGAACUUCGCCCACGCCCCCCACCAAGGCUAUAGCCCACCCGUUUUUUGGCCAUUUUUCCGCUGGGGGGUCUUGGCGCCCCGACCUUCGGGGGCUGAAUUUUGGGCGCGGGUGUGCCCGUGGCCUAUUUUUGGCACACGGAGGCCGCCCGCAAAGUCUGGGGCCAUUCCGAGUCCGGCGGACGAGCUUCGCCCACACCCCCCACCAAGGCUAUAGCCCACCCGUUUUUUGGCCAUUUUUCCGCUGGGGGGUCUUGGCGCCCCGACCUUCGGGGGCUGAAUUUUGGGCGCGGGUGUGCCCGUGGCCUAUUUUUGGCACACGGAGGCCGCCCGCAAAGUCUGGGGCCAUUCCGAGUCCGGCGGACGAACUUCGCCCACGCCCCCCACCAAGGCUAUAGCCCACCCGUUUUUUGGCCAUUUUUCCGCUGGGGGGUCUUGGCGCCCCGACCUUCGGGGGCUGAUUUUUGGGCGCGGGUGUGCCCGUGGCCUAUUUUUGGCACACGGAGGCCGCCCGCAAAGUCUGGGGCCAUUCCGAGUCCGGCGGACGAACUUCGCCCACGCCCCCCACCAAGGCUAUAGCCCACCCGUUUUUUGGCCAUUUUUCCGCUGGGGGGUCUUGGCGCCCCGACCUUCGGGGGCUGAAUUUUGGGCGCGGGUGUGCCCGUGGCCUAUUUUUGGCACACGGAGGCCGCCCGCAAAGUCUGGGGCCAUUCCGAGUCCGGCGGACGAACUUCGCCCACGCCCCCCACCAAGGCUAUAGCCCACCCGUUUUUUGGCCAUUUUUCCGCUGGGGGGUCUUGGCGCCCCGACCUUCGGGGGCUGAAUUUUGGGCGCGGGUGUGCCCGUGGCCUAUUUUUGGCACACGGAGGCCGCCCGCAAAGUCUGGGGCCAUUCCGAGUCCGGCGGACGAACUUCGCCCACGCCCACCACCAAGGCUAUAGCCCACCCGUUUUUUGGCCAUUUUUCCGCUGGGGGGUCUUGGCGCCCCGACCUUCGGGGGCUGAAUUUUGGGCGCGGGUGUGCCCGUGGCCUAUUUUUGGCACACGGAGGCCGCCCGCAAAGUCUGGGGCCAUUCCGAGUCCGGCGGACGAGCUUCGCCCACGCCCCCCACCAAGGCUAUAGCCCACCCGUUUUUUGGCCAUUUUUCCGCUGGGGGGUCUUGGCGCCCCGACCUUCGGGGGCUUAAUUUUGGGCGCGGGUGUGCCCGUGGCCUAUUUUUGGCACACGGAGGGCGCCCGCAAAGUCUGGGGCCAUUCCGAGUCCGGCGGACGAACUUCGCCCACGUCCCCCACCAAGGCUAUAGCCCACCCAUUUUUUGGCCAUUUUUCCGCUGGGGGGUCUUGGCGCCCCGACCUUCGGGGGCUGAUUUUUGGGCGCGGGUGUGCCCGUGGCCUAUUUUUGGCACACGGAGGCCGCCCGCAAAGUCUGGGGCCAUUCCGAGUCCGGCGGACGAACUUCGCCCACGCCCCCCACCAAGGCUAUAGCCCACCCGUUUUUUGGCCAUUUUUCCGCUGGGGGGUCUUGGCGCCCCGACCUUCGGGGGCUGAUUUUUGGGCGCGGGUGUGCCCGUGGCCUAUUUUUGGCACACGGAGGCCGCCCGCAAAGUCUGGGGCCAUUCCGAGUCCGGCGGACGAACUUCGCCCACGCCCCCCACCAAGGCUAUAGCCCACCCGUUUUUUGGCCAUUUUUCCGCUGGGGGGUCUUGGCGCCCCGACCUUCGGGGGCUGAUUUUUGGGCGCGGGUGUGCCCGUGGCCUAUUUUUGGCACACGGAGGCCGCCCGCAAAGUCUGGGGCCAUUCCGAGUCCGGCGGACGAGCUACGCCCACGCCCCCCACCAAGGCUAUAGCCCACCCAUUUUUUGGCCAUUUUUCCGCUGGGGGGUCUUUGCGCCCCGACCUUCGGGGGCUGAAUUUUGGGCGCGGGUGUGCCCGUGGCCUAUUUUUGGCACACGGAGGCCGCCCGCAAAGUCUGGGGCCAUUCCGAGUCCGGCGGACGAACUUCGCCCACGCCCCCCACCAAGGCUAUAGCCCACCCGUUUUUUGGCCAUUUUUCCGCUGGGGGGUCUUGGCGCCCCGACCUUCGGGGGCUGAUUUUUGGGCGCGGGUGUGCCCGUGGCCUAUUUCGGGCACACGGAGGCCGCCCGCAAAGUCGGGGGCCAUUUCGAGUCCGGCGGACGAACUUCGCCCACGCCCCCCACCAAGGCUAUAGCCCACCCGUUUUUUGGCCAUUUUUCCGCUGGGGGGUCUUGGCGCCCCGACCUUCGGGGGCUGAAUUUUGGGCGCGGGUGUGCCCGUGGCCUAUUUUUGGCACACGGAGGCCGCCCGCAAAGUCUGGGGCCAUUCCGAGUCCGGCGGACGAACUUCGCCCACGCCCCCCACCAAGGCUAUAGCCCACCCGUUUUUUGGCCAUUUUUCCGCUGGGGGGUUUUGGCACCACGACCUUCGCGCGCUUAUUUCUGGGCGCGGCUUUGCCCGCGGCUUAUUUUUGGCACCCCGAGGCCCCUCGCAAAGUCUCGCCCCAUUCCGAGUCCGGCGGACGAACUUCGCCCGCGCCCCCCACCAAGGCUAUAGCCCACCCGUUUUUUGGCCAUUUUUCCGCUGGGGGGUUUUGGCACCACGACCUUCGCGCGCUUAUUUCUGGGCGCGGCUUUGCCCGCGGCUUAUUUUUGGCACCCCGAGGCCCCUCGCAAAGUCUCGCCGCAUUCCGAGUCCGGCGGACGAACGUCGCCCGCGCCCCCCACCAAGUCUAUAGCCCACCCGUUUUUUGGCCAUUUUUCCGCUCGGGGGUUUUGGCACCACGACCUUCGGGCGCUUAUUUUUGGGCGCGGCUUUGCCCGCGGCUUAUUUUUGGCACCCCGAGGCCCCUCGCAAAGUCUCGCCCCAUUCCGAGUCCGGCGGACGAACUUCGCCCGCGCCCCCCACCAAGGCUAUAGCCCACCCGUUUUUUGGCCAUUUUUCCGCUGGGGGGUCUUGGCGCCCCGACCUUCGGGGGCUGAUUUUUGGGCGCGGGUGUGCCCGUGGCCUAUUUUUGGCACACGGAGGCCGCCCGCAAAGUCUGGGGCCAUUCCGAGUCCGGCGGACGAACUUCGCCCACGCCCCCCACCAAGGCUAUAGCCCACCCGUUUUUUGGCCAUUUUUCCGCUGGGGGGUCUUGGCGCCCCGACCUUCGGGGGCUGAAUUUUGGGCGCGGGUGUGCCCGUGGCCUAUUUUUGGCACACGGAGGCCGCCCGCAAAGUCUGGGGCCAUUCCGAGUCCGGCGGACGAACUUCGCCCACGCCCCCCACCAAGGCUAUAGCCCACCCGUUUUUUGGCCAUUUUUCCGCUGGGGGGUCUUGGCGCCCCGACCUUCGGGGGCUGAAUUUUGGGCGCGGGUGUGCCCGUGGCCUAUUUUUGGCACACGGAGGCCGCCCGCAAAGUCUGGGGCCAUUCCGAGUCCGGCGGACGAACUUCGCCCACGCCCCCCACCAAGGCUAUAGCCCACCCGUUUUUUGGCCAUUUUUCCGCUGGGGGGUCUUGGCGCCCCGACCUUCGGGGGCUGAAUUUUGGGCGCGGGUGUGCCCGUGGCCUAUUUUUGGCACACGGAGGCCGCCCGCAAAGUCUGGGGCCAUUCCGAGUCCGGCGGACGAACUUCGCCCACGCCCCCCACCAAGGCUAUAGCCCACCCGUUUUUUGGCCAUUUUUCCGCUGGGGGGUCUUGGCGCCCCGACCUUCGGGGGCUGAUUUUUGGGCGCGGGUGUGCCCGUGGCCUAUUUUUGGCACACGGAGGCCGCCCGCAAAGUCUGGGGCCAUUCCGAGUCCGGCGGACGAACUUCGCCCACGCCCCCCACCAAGGCUAUAGCCCACCCGUUUUUUGGCCAUUUUUCCGCUGGGGGGUCUUGGCGCCCCGACCUUCGGGGACUGAUUUUUGGGCGCGGCUGUGCCCGUGGCCUAUUUUUGGCACACGGAGGCCGCCCGCAAAGUCUGGGGCCAUUCCGAGUCCGGCGGACGAACUUCGCCCACGCCCCCCACCAAGGCUAUAGCCCACCCGUUUUUUGGCCAUUUUUCCGCUGGGGGGUCUUGGCGCCCCGACCUUCGGGGGCUGAAUUUUGGGCGCGGGUGUGCCCGUGGCCUAUUUUUGGCACACGGAGGCCGCCCGCAAAGUCUGGGGCCAUUCCGAGUCCGGCGGACGAACUUCGCCCACGCCCCCCACCAAGGCUAUAGCCCACCCGUUUUUUGGCCAUUUUUCCGCUGGGGGGUCUUGGCGCCCCGACCUUCGGGGGCUGAAUUUUGGGCGCGGGUGUGCCCGUGGCCUAUUUUUGGCACACGGAGGCCGCCCGCAAAGUCUGGGGCCAUUCCGAGUCCGGCGGACGAACUUCGCCCACGCCCCCCACCAAGGCUAUAGCCCACCCGUUUUUUGGCCAUUUUUCCGCUGGGGGGUCUUGGCGCCCCGACCUUCGGGGGCUGAUUUUUGGGCGCGGGUGUGCCCGUGGCCUAUUUUUGGCACACGGAGGCCGCCCGCAAAGUCUGGGGCCAUUGCGAGUCCGGCGGACGAACUUCGCCCACCACCCCCACCAAGGCUAUAGCCCACCCGUUUUUUGGCCAUUUUUCCGCUGGGGGGUCUUGGCGCCCCGACCUUCGGGGGCUGAAUUUUGGGCGCGGGUGUGCCCGUGGCCUAUUUUUGGCACACGGAGGCCGCCCGCAAAGUCUGGGGCCAUUCCGAGUCCGGCGGACGAACUUCGCCCACGCCCCCCACCAAGGCUAUAGCCCACCCGUUUUUUGGCCAUUUUUCCGCUGGGGGGUCUUGGCGCCACGACCUUCGGGGGCUUAAUUUUGGGCGCGGGUGUUCCCGUGGCCUAUUUUUGGCACACGGAGGCCGCCCGCAAAGUCUGGGCCAUUCCGAGUCCGGCGGACGAACUUCGCCCACGCCCCCCACCAAGGCUAUAGCCGACCCGUUUUUUGGCCAUUUUUCCGCUGGGGGGUCUUGGCGCCCCGACCUUCGGGGGCUGAAUUUUGGGCGCGGGUGUGCCCGUGGCCUAUUUUUGGCACACGGAGGCCGCCCGCAAAGUCUGGGGCCAUUCCGAGUCCGGCGGACGAACUUCACCCACGCCCCCCACCAAGGCUAUAGGCCACCCGUUUUUUGGACAUUUUUCCGCUGGGGGGUCUUGGCGCCCCGACCUUCGGGGGCUGAAUUUGGGGCGCGGGUGUGCCCGUGGCCUAUUUUUGGCACACGGAGGCCGCCCGCAAAGUCUGGGGCCAUUCCGAGUCCGGCGGACGAACUUCGCCCACGCCCCCCACCAAGGCUAUAGCCCACCCGUUUUUUGGCCAUUUUUCCGCUGGGGGGUCUUGGCGCCCCGACCUUCGGGGGCUGAAUUUUGGGCGCGGGUGUGCCCGUGGCCUAUUUUUGGCACACGGAGGCCGCCCGCAAAGUCUGGGGCCAUUCCGAGUCCGGCGGACUAACUUCGCCCACGCCCCCCACCAAGGCUAUAGCCCACCCGUUUUUUGGCCAUUUUUCCGCUGGGGGGUCUUGGCGCCCCGACCUUCGGGGGCUGA